UUUAACUUGAGAGUUUGAUCCUGGCUCAGAAUCAACGCUGGCGGCGUGCCUAACACAUGCAAGUCGAACGCGAAAGGGGAGCAAUCCCUGAGUA
This 94-nucleotide ribosomal RNA is filed under the name Acidobacteriota bacterium. RNAcentral's name for it is "Acidobacteria bacterium (soil metagenome) partial 16S ribosomal RNA". It matches the Rfam family "Bacterial small subunit ribosomal RNA", at positions 1 to 92 of the family's 1533-position model. Lineage: Bacteria; Pseudomonadati; Acidobacteriota. The record is from RNAcentral.